Molecule: long non-coding RNA, 1651 nt
Organism: Leguminivora glycinivorella
Lineage: Eukaryota; Metazoa; Arthropoda; Insecta; Lepidoptera; Tortricidae
Exons: 2
Source: RefSeq, a predicted model, not a curated record
CACAAGCAACCGAACCAUACUACGUUAGGGGUCAUGGGCAGACCUAAACAAUGCUCACGACCCUUCCAAAUGAUAUCAAUCGACUUUAUUGGUCCUCUUCCUACAAGUAGAAAACAGAACACAUUUCUACUCGUAAUAGUGUGUUGUUUUUCGAAAUAUUGCCUCGCAUUCCCACUACGACGAGCGAACGCGGAAGCAGUAAUCAAACAUCUAGAAGACUCGGUCUUUCUUGUUCAUGGAGUACCUCAGACAGUGUUCUUGGAUAACGGGAGUCAGUUUAUAAGUAAAAACUUAGAUUCGUUUUUUAAAAAAUAUAAAGUGCCCAACGUUUUCUUUACCCCCCGUUAUACUCCCCAGGUAAACACGGUGGAACGUCAUAACCGUACCUUAAUUACAUGUAUUUCUACUUUCAUAGAAAACGACCACAGAGCUUGGGACGUUAACUUGCCAAAAAUAACCUUUGCUAUCAAUAACUCACGAAGCGAAGUUACUAAUUUCACGCCUUCCUUUCUUGUUUACGCGCGAGAGUUAGUAACGUGCGGUUCGCACUACGUAGAUAACGACCUUUCCAAUGAAGUAAUUUUUCUACCUCGCAGUAUUUAUGCCGAAAAUGUUGGUCCCAUGGCAAAUAUAUUUGAUGAAGUCCAAACUCGUCUUUGGCAGGCUCACGCAAAAAACACCUCUCGCUACAACUUAAGACGCCUACCAACCGAAUUCAACGUCAAUGACAUAGUUUGGAGAAAAACCUAUUACCAAAGUGAUAAAGACCAUUAUUUUAGCAAGAAGUUGGCACCGAAGUUUUUAGAAUGUAAAAUAGUACGUAAAAGGUCUCCUCUAGUCUACGACUUGCAAGAUACGUCCGGCAAAGAUUUGGGCACUUGGCAUAUUAAGGACCUCAAACUAGUAAGACGCUCAAGAUAAUAAAUGAAUUUAGUACAAAUACAUAUAUAAAUAGAGCUUAGUUUAGUGUUUAGUGUACCUAUCGGAUUUUUUAAUUAAGGUGAGCAAAAAUCCUUCCCUAGGGAGCGGGGUAACUGUAGCGUUAAUUAUUUCUUAGUAAAUUAUAAGAAUUAAAAUAAAUAUAUUCUCAUAUAUUUACAACAUUUAAUCUUGUCGUUAUGACAAAUAAAUAGGAAAUGAUAAGUAUCGACGUCGAUACUGUCGAUACUAUCGACUUUUCCAAUCCCGCGUACUUGUUUACGCGAUAUCGCCGGCGCCAUGUUAUAACGGUGCCUCGGCCCGCAGAAGAGAUCAAACUGCAGCGCGGCGCGCACGUCGCUCGUGCACAGAUAUGGGCCGCGCCCUUGAAUCGUCAUGUGUGAAUUUCUAAUAGUUAUAUGAAACCAUAAAACACAUAGUUAAUUUAUAAAAGGUGCAUCUCGUUUGUUACGACACUUCAUUACAAAUCAAGUGCAUAUAUUCCCCCACUUUGGGGACUACUCGACGGGCUCACUACUAUCACGCCCGCAAACCUUCACCCUGCCUGGACGCCUCUGCCCACUCGCGUCGAACGCCGCGUCACACGCCACUACCGACGCCAGGACGCCAGGACAGUAACGCUCAGCUACGCUGCGAUCCAUUUGCCAUCACCACCGUAGGCCUACGACCCACGUCCCUAAAUAGUCCUAAUAAAUAGAUUUAACACUUUGUA